RNAcentral lists this non-coding RNA (22 nucleotides) under Arabidopsis thaliana (thale cress). Lineage: Eukaryota; Viridiplantae; Streptophyta; Magnoliopsida; Brassicales; Brassicaceae. The record is from RNAcentral.
AGCAAGUUGCAGAAGUGGUGCA